RNAcentral lists this ribosomal RNA (763 nucleotides) under Heterodermia microphylla. Its description in RNAcentral is "SSU rRNA". It matches the Rfam family "Bacterial small subunit ribosomal RNA", at positions 1 to 1174 of the family's 1533-position model. Lineage: Eukaryota; Fungi; Ascomycota; Lecanoromycetes; Caliciales; Physciaceae. The record is from RNAcentral.
CUUGGAGGAACGUAUAGCGAAAGCUAGCUGCAUUAGCUUAGCGAAAGCUAAAUUGGUGCAGAAUUGUCUCGUCAAAUAAAGUUCCAGGUGGGUUAUGAUGAUGACAUUUCCUAUCUGUGUGUCUUGACCAAAUUACGUGCCAGCAGUCGCGGUAAUACGUAGAAGACUAGUGUUAUUCAUCUUUAAUAGGUUUAAAGGGUACCUAGACGGUAAAUCAAGUCCGAGAAGGAUACUAAUUUGACUAGAGUUAAAUGUGAGGGGGCAUUAAAGUACUGAUGAGUGGAGAGAUGAAAUUCUAUUAUACAAUAUACGGCACUGGCAAAGGCGAAAGCAUCUCCUUAUGUAAUAACUGACGUUGAGGGACGAAGGCUAUGUGUAGCAAAAAGGAUUAGUUACCCAAGUAGUCAUAGCAGAAAAUUAUGAAUGUCAUGGGAUGGAAGAUUUUUACACACAUAGGCCAAGUAAAAACAAACUUUCUUUCUAUAAAUGAUAGUGUAAGCAUUCCACCUCAAGAGUAAUUUGGCAACAUUGGAACUGAAAUCAUUAGACCGUUUCUGAAACAAGUAGUGAAGUAUGUUGUUUAAUUUGAUGAUCCGCAAAAAACCUUACCACAAUUUGAAUAGAAAAUUUUUUUAUACAAGUGCUGCACGGUUGUCUUCAGUUAAUGUCGUGAGAUCUUGGUUAGUUCCAUUAAAUUAACGUAAACCCUUACUUUAUUUUUAUAUAGAGUAGUUCGCCGCUAUAUUGGAUAUGAUAAGAGGGA